This 1198-nucleotide unclassified non-coding RNA is filed under the name Rhizobium gallicum. Its description in RNAcentral is "partial contains 16S ribosomal RNA, 16S-23S ribosomal RNA intergenic spacer, and 23S ribosomal RNA". The stretch from base 1067 to 1198 matches the Rfam family "Bacterial large subunit ribosomal RNA", at positions 1 to 131 of the family's 2925-position model. Lineage: Bacteria; Pseudomonadati; Pseudomonadota; Alphaproteobacteria; Hyphomicrobiales; Rhizobiaceae. The record is from RNAcentral.
UGCGGCAUCACCUCCUUUCUAAGGAAGCUGUGGAACAGGAAGACGGCAUCUUCGGAUGCAUGACCUUUCCCGUGCUUUUUAGAACAUAGAUGGCACCAGUCAGGUGACCAUCGAAACGCAAUACGCCGCGUCGACUUCGGUCACGACGGUAUGGCGAGCUUUCGCCGUCCACGUUUCUCUUUCUUCAAGAAGAUAUCGAACCAUUGAGUGCGCUCACGCGCUGUUUGCACCUUCGGUGCUGCGCUCCGCUGGGGCGCCGGACGGCCGGCGACGGACUAUCGUCCUGUUGAUCAGGAUGAAAGCGAUGGGCCCGUAGCUCAGUUGGUUAGAGCACACGCUUGAUAAGCGUGGGGUCGGUAGUUCAAGUCUACCCGGGCCCACCAUUUGCUUUUGCAGUUUGGUUUGCUCCUGGUUUAACUGAUCCUGGGUUUAACUGAUCCUGGCGGUUUGCUGUCAGGUGUUUGCGAUGGUUGGGGCUGUAGCUCAGCUGGGAGAGCACCUGCUUUGCAAGCAGGGGGUCAGCGGUUCGAUCCCGCUCAGCUCCACCAAUUCGCUUUGGUGUUGAACUGAGGGAUUUGAGAUAUUUUCUGAAGAAAAACAAAGUUUGCAUCGUUUAUGACGAUGCCUGUUCUGCAUAUAUCGUGAAGAGAAGAUUGAUCUGGAGGCUUCCAGGUGUUUUGGGUUUAGGCCCGAGGCGUCCGAAGCCGGUUCCGAUGAUGUCGUUGAUGAUCUAGCCGACCGGAAACGAAAGUGGAGCCGGAUGUAGGAAGGAAGCUUGUCCCGAGGCAUUGUUGUUGUUUGAAGGCUUUGGCUUUCAUCUGACCGACGGUGCUGGAUUGGCGUUGCCUGACCGCGCGCCACCGGAUUUGAUCUCGAGAAGCUGGUCUUAAGACAGACUGUGAAGCGAGCUGCUCGGCGUAGCUCCAAUAAAGCAGAUCUGUCGAACACGUCGAUGGCAUCAUGAAUUGUCCGGGUUGUAAAAGGUAACCUGGUCUCUGGCUGGCACGGCAAUCGCAAGGUUGUCCGGAUCCCGAUCCAGUAAAUGAUGAGCAUUGGCAAUGAGAACGAUUAAGUGUCGUAAGGGCAUUUGGUGGAUGCCUUGGCAUGCACAGGCGAUGAAGGACGUGAUACGCUGCGAUAAGCCGUGGGGAGCUGCGAAUGAGCUUUGAUCCAUGGAUCUCCGAAUGGGGAAACCCGG